UGAAUACGAGAUGCUACGGCGUCGAAGCAGUCUAUGUCAUACUUCCAAGAAAAGCUUGCACUGUCAUAAACAAAUAAUGCCUGUACCAUAACCGACACAGGUGGGUAGGUAGAGUAUACUAAGGGGCGCGAGAUAACUCUCUCUAAGGAACUCGGCAAAAUGACUCCGUAACUUCGGGAGAAGGAGUGCCUUAUUUAUAAGGUUGCAAUAACAAGAUCCAAGCAACUGUUUACCAAAAACACAGGUCUCCGCUAAGUCGUAAGACGAUGUAUGGGGGCUGACGCCUGCCCAGUGCCAGAAGGUUAGAGAAGUUGGUUAGCAUCCGCGAAGCUGAUAACUGAAGCCCUGGUGAACGGCGGCCGUAACUAUAACGGUCCUAAGGUAGCGAAAUUCCUUGUCGGGUAAGUUCCGACCCGCACGAAAUGCGUAAUGAUUUGGAUACUGUCUCGGAGAGGGGCUCGGUGAAAUAGACUUGUCUGUGAAGAUGCGGACUACCUGCACCAGGACAGAAAGACCCUAUGAAGCUUUACUGUAACCUGAAAUUGAAAUUGGACUUUACUUGCGCAGUAUAGGUGGGAGGCGUUGAGAAUAUUCUUGCGGGAUUAUUGGAGCCAUCAGUGAGAUACCACUCUUGUAAUGUUAGAUUUCUAACUUUGUAUCAUUAUCUGGUCAAAGAACAGUUUCAGGCGGGCAGUUUGACUGGGGCGGUCGCCUCCUAAACGGUAACGGAGGCGCACAAAGGUUUCCUCUGAACGGGUAGAAAUCGUAUCUAGAGUGUAAAGGCAUAAGGAAGCUUGACUGUGAGACCUACAAGUCGAGCAGGGACGAAAGUCGGUCUUAGUGAUCUGACGGUGCUGAGUGGAAAGGCCGUCACUCAACGGAUAAAAGUUACUCUAAGGAUAACAGGCUGAUCUCCCCCAAGAGUUCACAUCGACGGGGAGGUUUGGCACCUCGAUGUCGGCUCAUCGCAUCCUGGGGCGGUAGUACGUCCCAAGGGUUGGGCUGUUCGCCCAUGAAAGCGGUACGCGAGCUGGGUUCAGAACGUCGUGAGACAGUUCGGUCCAUAUCCGGUGUAGGCGUUAGAAUAUUGAGAGGAGCCUUCUUUAGUACGAGAGGACCGAGAAGGACAUACCUCUGGUGUACGAGUUAUCGUGCCAACGGUAAACGCUGGGUAGCUAUGUGUGGAGUGGAUAACCGCUGAAAGCAUCUAAGUGGGAAGCCCACCUCAAGAUGAGUGCUCUCACAGGGUUAACCUGGUAAGGUCACGGGAAGACCACCCGUUAAUAGGCACUAGGUGGAAGUCCAGUAAUGGAU
Molecule: ribosomal RNA, 1314 nt
Filed under: metagenome
Description: bacterial LSU rRNA
Rfam family: Bacterial large subunit ribosomal RNA
Source: RNAcentral